Molecule: RNA transcript, 3928 nt
Organism: Brienomyrus brachyistius
Lineage: Eukaryota; Metazoa; Chordata; Actinopteri; Osteoglossiformes; Mormyridae
Gene name: tyrosine-protein phosphatase non-receptor type 12-like
Exons: 15
Source: RefSeq, a predicted model, not a curated record
CCGACCACUUCGCCGUCUGACUUUAUUGAGAAUGUGGAAGCUGGGAGGCAGGGAGGAAUGGCCGCAUGAUUAAUGCAUUUAUUUCCCCCCCCAUUUAAUCAUAUACAGGAAUUAGGAAGGUAACACGAAGCCUACUUGGACUUCUUUCUCUAUCCGUGGAAAUAUGAAUGUAGGGCGACAAUCACAUGGAAGCGAUUCUCCGUGGAUUGAAAAAUAACUUUAUUUAUUUAUCGUGUUUACGCCGCCGUGGCUCCACGACUUCUUGUUAAUUAAGCGGCAGAUUGCGCGUGGGAAGGUGACUGGAUCGCUAGGAUGGAUCAGGUGACUAUCCUGAAGAAAUUCAUUCAGGGGGUUCAUGCCAUGCAAGCUGGGGACCAGAGGGGAGAGGACAACUUCGGCAGUGACUUCAUGAGGCUGCGCAGGCUGUCGACGAAGUACAGGACGGAGAAGAUCUACCCCACCAGCGUUGGAGAGAGAGAGGAGAAUGUGAAGAAGAACCGAUACAAAGACAUACUGCCAUUUGAUCACAGCCGAGUGAAGCUUUCGUUGCAAACUUCUAACCAGGACACGGACUACAUCAACGCCAACUUCUUAAAGGGGGUCGAAGAAGCAGAGGCCUACAUCGCCACCCAGGGGCCCCUACCCAACACAGUGGUGGACUUCUGGAGGAUGAUCUGGGAGUAUAACGUGUCGGUCAUCGUGAUGGCAUGUCGCGAAUUCGAGAUGGGAAGGAAAAAGUGUGAGCGGUACUUUCCGACACUUGGUGACCCGCCCCUGAGGCUCGGGCCCUUCAGGAUCUCGUGUGAAUCGGAACAACCCAGAACCGACUACAUCCUCCGAACUCUGACGGCAGAAUACCAGAAUGAGUCGCGUCGACUCACGCAGUUCCACUAUAUCAACUGGCCCGACCACGACGUGCCAUCGUCGUUCGACUCCAUCCUGGAUAUGAUCGCCCUCAUGAGGGAGUACCAGGAACACGAAGAUGUGCCCAUCUGCAUCCACUGCAGCGCGGGCUGCGGGAGGACUGGCGCCAUCUGUGCCAUCGACUACACGUGGAACCUGCUCAAAGCUGGGAAGAUUCCAGAAGACUUCAACGUGUUCCGGCUCAUUCAGGAAAUGAGGACGCAUAGGCAUUCGGCGGUGCAGACGAAGGAGCAGUACGAGCUCGUCCACAGGGCCAUCGCUCAGCUCUUCCAGCAGCAGCUCCUGCAGCUGGAGGGCACCUCCCUCUGCCGCAUCUCUGAGCGCCUGGAUGGAGACAGUCUGGGGGGGCAGGGAGGAAGUUCAGAUGAGGAGAACGUGGAAUGUCCCCCACCGAAACCACCGCGAGUCCGCAGUGUCUGUCCGGAGGAGGGGGACAUCAGGGAGGAGAUAUUGCAGCCGCCAAAGCCACGGCCGGUGCCACCCAUUCUCUUACCCUCGCCCCCGUCUGCCUUCCCCACAGUCACCAAUGUACGGCAGGACAAUGACCGCUACCACCCCAAACCUAUCCUGCAUAUGCUGGUGUCUGAACAGGCGGGGGGGCUUGGCGAGAGCCACGAAGCCCCCCCUGCCCCUGCUUCAGUACCUGCCCCUGCACCCUUCCCCUCCCCCGCCCCAGUCCCCGUCCUCAGCCCCUCUUCUGGCCCUACCCCCUCUCCCGCCACUGCCCCCUUGCCCACUGCCGCCCCCGUUCCUGUCCCCGCCCCCACGGAGGGUCCAGAAAGGCGUCUGGACCGCAAGCUCAGCAUCGAGAUCCAGCGGGUACCUCUGCAGGAAGGCCCACGGAGCUUUGAGGGCAGCACCCGGCUCCAGCGUGGUCAUGCCUUCAAGGGAAAGACCCACCGCAGCUGCUCCCUGGACCGCCAGCCCUGCACUGCCAACGCGCCAGUCCAAACCGUACAGCUCCUCGUCGGGGAGGGCGACCCUCCCUCUGCCGAAAAACGGCCCUCUCCCUGCGAUCAGCCCAAGGCUCCCAGCCACACGGUGGCUCUCAGCUUCACCAACCCCCUACACUCGGACAACUCAGACUCUGAGGACGCGGCGGACGGACUAGAUACAGAUGCUCCAGAUGCACGGGGCGCCCCGGUGGAGGCAUCGAGCCACGGGCAGAUCUCAGCCUUGUGGAUGACAGCCAGUACGUUGGUCCCCCAUGGAGCCGUGCGAUUGUGGGUGGGCUGUUUGGAAGCUAUGGGUGGCUUUUAUAGGCUGUGCUGUUAUGGAGGUCAGAAGUACUAUGCAGGCUGCUGCUGAAUAGCUUGUAAUCUGACACACGCGCACACACACUCACAGGGAAAAGACUUUCGGAUUACAAGACCUACAGCAGUGUUUUUUUGCUUAACAGAUGUUUCAUCAGAAUCAUUUAGCAACAAAAUGUGACCAGGAAAGAUAAAAGAUCUAUAAAGUGUCCUACUGUUUUAUCCCUCACGCAGAAUUCAGUCAGUGUCACAGUUAAUACACAUGUUACAAAUGUCAGCAAACCUGUUUUCUUGCUGGGUUGGCUGUGACGCGAUGCAUCGCGUUGGUUUAUUCUCGUCAUCUGCAUCUGGCCCAGCAUGUCACCUGUUGUGUCACUUGCAUGUGUUUCUGGGAGCUGGGAGACUGGACUGGUGUGGGCAAGGCGCCAUGUUUCUGCACGAACGGGAUGCUGCAUGCCUAUUUGGAUGGGCCGCUUAUGAGCGAGGCAAGGGCUGGUGAAACUAUCGUUGGUGGGGGGGGGGGGCACGCCCUGCUGUGAGGCACCGCCUUGCGUGUCAGCACUGGUCUGCUCUAUGUCACUAAUUCCGCUGCACCUCUUCCUCCUUGCUCAAGUGCAGACGCUGUAGCAAUUCACAGUGAGAAUCCCCUUAGCGUAUUCGGCUGCUUGGUUUUCAUGCUGGGCUUCACUUGGGGUUACCCCUUGUGUGUAUUGGCUGCCGGUUACUGGUAAUUUGUUACUGCCUUGUCAGUAAUGCCUGCUCUUGUCCGAUUCAGAUUGCGAUGCAAGUGCUGACUUCCCUUGCCCCAGACCAAGAAUCCCCUUGAAUCCAUCUGUGUGGCUGCAGGUUUGUUCUGUGCGUAGUACUCUCCUUUGUCACUAGGGGGAGCCAGAAAUGCCUUUGCAGACCGUGGCCUGGAUUGGUUUUCCCGCAUGUACUUCUUUGGCCGACAUUACCUGUGGCAGGACUCCCCCCCCGGAUGUGAAACACAGCUGAAGAAAGGGUAGAACAAGUAGAGCCUCUGCAUGAAGCUCGGCUCCUGGUUUGUUUUUGUAAACCACCAGCAGAUCCGAUCGUUUGCUUGUCUUUUGAAAUGCAGCAGGGGGUUGAUGUCUGGCUUAUGAUUGAUCUUGUUUUGCUUGUGUUGUUCAGCUUUGUACUCCGAGAGAUGUUCUCCUUUUUGAACUAUUGCUUACUGACUGACACCUGUGUGUUUUGAUUGUGUAGGGAGGGGAAAAAAGCACAGUAUAAUUGCAUGAGAAGAGUAUGGCGCGUCUGGGUUAGAAUGUGUGGCAAUGUGACGGACCUGCUAGCAGUGAAGCAUAUGUCAUCAGUCGUCAGUUCUUAGCGUCCACCGUCAGAUAUUCCCGCAGCCCCUCGCCAGCGGAGCUACAGUGGUGUGUGUCGGUGGUUAUCAUGCUAUUGUUUCUGUUUGGAUUGAUCCAAAAGGCAGCAGACACGUCAAAGCUUUGACUUACCAUCGCGUGCCGGCAGGGGGCUGCUGUCUAGAACUCCACUCCCAACUUCUAUGUGGGCUCUUUGUUUUGUCGUGGAAGGGCUCCGGCAGUUCUCAUUAGCUCCAUUUACUUAAUGCUUCCUUGAACUUCUUGCAGUUCACUUGUGGAGGACAGGAGACUCACCCAGUACCUGUGGGUCAGGAAUCUCAACAGACCAAAGCAUGUUUACGGAAGGUCCAGGAACCGAAACGGACUCUACUCAGAGUAACGGGACAAUCGGGCAUGGAGAGAACG